Molecule: non-coding RNA, 2296 nt
Organism: Hydra vulgaris (swiftwater hydra)
Lineage: Eukaryota; Metazoa; Cnidaria; Hydrozoa; Anthoathecata; Hydridae
Source: RefSeq, a predicted model, not a curated record
UUUUCUAUGGGGGAUGUAAUAUUUUAGGCGGAUGUGAUAUUUUAUUACAGAACCCUCCGAAUUGUACUAAAACGAGCUUCGCUCUACAAAUUUUUGUAAUACUCUUUAGAUUAAAACGAGUGAAGAUAAUUUUUCUCUAAAUUUUUAGCAUUUAUUAGAACAUUGCUCUUGAAGUAAAUUUAUUCACUGAAAUGUGUAUGCAACUAUCUAUUUUAUUCAAAUAUGUUCCAAGUUUAGAAUGUACAAGUUUAGAAAGGUAUACUUUAAUUUUUUGUAUGAAAUUUAUAAAUUAAUAUAAUGAAAAUUCAUGCAAAAAAACCAUUUUGUAUGUUGUAUACUAGAUAAUAUACUUGAUAACCUGGUAAAUAUAGUUUUGUUUGUUUGUUUAAAAAUAGAUGCGCAGCAAAUUGAUGCACAACCAAACACUGCUGAAGCUUUAAAUCUGGCUGCUGCGACAGAAAAUAAGUACAUAUUGGCCACAUAUUUUAAAAGGCCAUUGUCAAAGAGCUUUUAUACUAAAAUGUCUUUUAGUAUAAAAGCUUUUAUUUUUCUACUAUAUCACACCUUUUGCAGCCAGAAAAUCUGAAAAAAAUAUUAAACAGAUGAUCUCAUGUUGUCUUUUCUUGGCAAGGACCUAGAGAUGCUGCAUAGAUCCCUAUUCAGUUGGUUGUUAAAACUGAUAUUUUUCUUAAAUUUUAUUCUCUUCUUAACUUAUUAGAGCUUGAUAUUACUGAUAAAGGUAUUUAUCUAGAGAUAAAAGAUAUUCAUUUAGAUUUUCAACUUAGAAAAAACUUCAGAAUUUAUUACGUCAAGAUAAAGUGAAAUCUGCAGAUGUAAAAAAAGUUAAAGAAGGAUGCUGCAAAUAUGGUAAUUUUUUUAUUGGAGAAAAUCACUCGGAAAAGUUCAUUAUAAUCAUUGCAUGGUAUGAAUUGCAAAUGUGUUUGAUUCAAGUUCCUGUAUAUGACCAAUCCAAUCGAUAGAUCCAAAUUCUGUAUGCAACUGGUCAAAUUACGAAGAAAGAUGAAACAACUCUUGACUCAUUGAAGAUUAUUAAUGCAACUUUAGCAGAGAAAGUUUUGCCACAAUAUUCAGUUCUGUUGGCAGUGUUAUCUCAAGAUCUUGAAAUAGUAGAGUCUUCAAGUUGUGAGAGCGCUAGACUUAAUAAUUUCUUUUUUUCAUAAACCCACAAUACAUAUACCAAAAAGUUAAAAUCUAUUUUGUUCUUAUAUUGGUUUUAGUUACAAGUCAUAGUAAAACAAGGGUAGAGAGGACUUGAUGUUAUUAAGAUUGUAACCAAUAUAUAACCAAUAUAUAACCAAUAAUAUAAAGAAAGAUGAAGGGUAGGCCUUGUGUAAAAAAACAACCUGAUACCUUCAACACUGAAACUAACAAACAAGUUUAUAAGGUUUGUGAAAGGCGCGUGCUUAAAAUAUUAGCUUGAUCUUGAUCAAAAGAAAAAGAAUGCUAAGAAAAAUCAAAGAAACCAUCAGUUAAAAUUUUAACCAAAAUCAUUGAUGAUUAAAAGAAGAAAAAGUCAGGGGGUAAAAAUUGUUUUUCAAGAAAAAGAAAGUCAGGAAAAUUACUUAUAUAUUAAAUAUGAGUUGAGUCAGAAAAAUCUUUCAUUUAGAACCUAGAUAAACCCUGAUGAUGUUUAACAAAUACCAAAAUUAACUUUAAAAAAUGGUUUUUUUUUUUGUUUUUUUUUAAAAAAAAAAAAAACUCCAUUACCUUUAUGUAGAAUUUUUUUUAUCCAGAAAUAUUGAAGAGAAAUCACAAGGUGUAUUUUAAGCAUAGAGAUUAUCCAUUUUCCGGAAUUCCCUUAAUUUUUUUUUUCAUGCAGCAUUCUUGACUGCCAACAUGGAAAUGACAGAUAAGAUAGAUUCAUAGUUAUUGGCAUGACUCAGUUAUCGGCGCUUUCCAUUUUUGUGUCAGUUUAUCAGUUUAAUAGUAUAAUAUAAGAAAAUUGAGCCAAUGAUAUAUAAAAAGAGUAGUAGAUUAUGACUUAAACUAUAAAUUUUAUAGUAAGCAGACCUUAUCAUUGCUGGAAUUCAAGAACUGAGAAACUAUUACUUGAGAGGUUUUCUAAAGAGAUUGAGCGUGACGCUAUGCCUGAUCAAAAAACUCUCCGAAAGUUUGUUAAAGAAAGUGGCAUCGGAUUGUCUUAUAAAACAGUUCGAACUAAACUAACAAAUGAACGUGUCCCAGUGGGCACACGACGUUAUUUCGACAUUGAUUUACAGUUAAUUUUUAGUCGCGACGUCGUAUAAUCAAAAAUCAACGUUGAAUCAACGUUGAA